Sorghum bicolor (sorghum) is the source of this 3173-nucleotide RNA transcript. RefSeq lists it as uncharacterized. NCBI's taxonomy places the organism in Eukaryota, Viridiplantae, Streptophyta, Magnoliopsida, Poales, Poaceae. The transcript is spliced from 16 exons. The record is from RefSeq and is a predicted model, not a curated record.
GCAUGGAGGGUUGUGGCGCAUGGAACGUGUUGGAAACUGCAAGGUAACGCGCGGACGUAGGAUCCGUAGCGGAUGGCGAUCUGUCAUCGACUGCUCUCUGCCAUCGCUGAGGUGAAGGUAGAGGAUCUCGUUCCGCUAGACCCGACGGAGCCGAGCGACGGUUCCUUUGCGGCGGCGGCGACCUCGAGCUGAGGGCAGCGAGAAGGCAGGGACAACUCGAUCUCCCUUAGCUGGCUAGACCCGAUGGAGCCGAGGGUUCCUUGCGGCGACGGCGGCCCCGAGCUGAGAGGCACGAGAAGGCAUCGACGGGAGGGCGAGCGAAUCCACGUCCUCGAUCCUCGAAUUCUAGAGCCUCAGCGACAAAGGUCGAAUCCAUUCAGGAACAUCUUUCAUCUAUUAACUCAACGAGAGGUCUCACCUCGAACGAAACACCACGCCAAAAGAAUAUGGAAUAAGUCUCCAAAAUACGAUCCUGAUUUAAUUGAGUUAAGGUUUGCCGAUGCAGAUGCUAAACUUGAUAUUUUUUCUUGGGCAGAAUCACAGUCCCUGCAUCGCUGGACUGCCAAGUAUUGCCCUCUUUUGCCACCUCCUAGGUCAACUAUUGCAGCUGCUUUCAGUCCAGAUGGAAAAACACUUGCGUCCACACAUGGUGACCAUACUGUGAAAAUAAUUGACUGCCAUACAGGGAAAUGUUUGAAGGUUUUGAGUGGACAUCGACGCACUCCUUGGGUGGUCAGGUACCAUCCAUUACAUUCUGACAUCCUGGCUAGCGGAAGUUUGGAUCAUGAAGUUCGUCUAUGGGAUGCUAAUACGUCAGACUGUAUUGGAUCACAAGACUUCCAUCGGCCAAUUGCAUCCAUUGCAUUUCAUGGAAGAGGGGAGAUUCUGGCAGUUGCAUCAGGUCACAAAUUGUACAUAUGGAACUACAAUAAGAGAGAUGACACUUCUUUCCCUGCCAUCAUACUAAAAACCCGCCGUUCGUUGAGAGCUGUGCAUUUUCACCCGCAUGGGGCUCCAUAUCUUCUGACAGCAGAGGUUAAUAAUAUAGAGUCUGCAGACUCACCCCUGACACUGGCAAGAUCCUCUGGAUAUUCAAAUUACCCUUCAGCCCUGCUGGUGACAAACACUAAUUCUAGAUUCUGUCCACUUCCUGAGUCCAAUGUGAUGUCACCUUGCUUAUUGUGGCCUGCAUACCUCAGAGAUGAUGGAAUUUUGCAUGUGCUUGGCAAUGACAGUAGUUCAACCAUUGUGCAGCAGAGAUCAUCAUUAGUUCAACCUUCCGCAUCAGAUACCGCAAAUGUACAGCUUGAACAGUUUGCUACCCCUAUGGAUGUAUGUCCUGGAGAGCCAACUUCAUCUAAUGACAUAUCAGAUGCAGUCACUGUGCCUACUUCAAAUGGAAUUGAAAUGCGUGGUGCUGGCAGCCAGUCUAACUCAAGACUGCAGGGCGGCAGCUAUAUUAGUAAUCUUGAGAGGUUCAGUGCUAGAGAUGAUUUGCAAGUGUCUUCCCUGAGCAGCACUGAGCCAAUCCCAUCAACAGCUGGGCUUUCAGGAUCUGUUUUACGCCGUGCUAUGCCACUGAAUAUGCUCCUCACUGGUGGAUUAGAUGUUCAAAUGUUCCUAAGAAAUAUAGGAAGUGGACAACAGGAUCAUUCUCUCUUCGGCGACUCACAUAACUGGGAGGUGCCAUUUGUGCAGGGUUUUUUGAUGGCCCAAAACCAUACAGGUUUGCACCCUGCACUUGUGAACAAUAAUGUCCUUGUAGACCUAUCUAUUGCUGGUACUGCAGGGACUAAUAACUUGACUAGGGAAUCACCACACAUGCAUAACUUUGGAUGUCCAGGUGCUUCAUCAUCGAUUCCCCUUACUGCUGGCAGUUCUAGGGGACUGGGACCAAAUCGACGCUAUGCCUCACGCUCUGUACCUGGGGUUGGGAGUUUGCUCCUAGGUCCUCAAAUUGACGAAGCUGAAGCUCAUGCUGCUUCGCUAGGUGCUGGUUCAGAAAUCACUGCGUCAAUGCUUGCUCCUGGUACUGAAUUGCCUUGUACAGUGAAACUCAGAAUAUGGCGGCAUGAUAUCAAGGAACCAUGUGUUCCUUUAGAACCUGAGGCAUGCCGUCUGACGAUUUCUCAUGCCGUUCUUUGCAGUGAAAUGGGUGCCCAUUUUUCCCCAUGUGGACGAUUUCUGGUAGCCUGCGUUGCAUGUUUGUUGCCUCAAACAGAAGGCGACCAUGGUAGCCAAUUGCCUGUGCCUUAUGAAGGGGCUGGAUCAUCACCAACUCGUCACCCGCUUCCCUCUCACCGAGUUAUUUAUGAGCUUCGGGUUUAUUCGCUUGAGGAGGAGACAUUUGGGGAUAUUCUUGCUUCCAGAGCAAUAAGGGCAGCACAUUGCUUAACUUCCAUUCAGUUCUCACCUACAUCCGAACACAUACUUUUGGCAUAUGGUCGUCGUCAUAGCUCGCUCCUUAGGAGCAUAGUUGUGGAAGGAGAAAAUGGGAUUCCUGUAUAUACUAUUUUGGAGGUAUACAGAGUUUCAGAUAUGGAGCUUGUGAGAGUGCUUCCUAGCGCUGAAGAUGAAGUCAAUGUUGCAUGCUUUCAUCCUUCACCAGGAGGUGGCCUUGUUUAUGGGACUAAGGAAGGGAAGCUCAGGAUCCUUCAGCACAAUGGCGCAGACAUGACAAACAUGGGGGUGGGUUGCUUCAUUGAGGAAAAUAUGGUUGAGAUCCAGAGGUAUGCAUUAGAAUGCUGAAGAAGCUUGGCCACAUCAUGUGAUUUUUAGGCUUACUUCCAUGGAAGUUUUCUAUGCAGGCUUCAUCUGUGUGAUCCUCUAAGGGAAAACAUUAGAUCCAUCUCCAACUAGAUUAUGACAGAUAAUUCUCAAUGAGUUCAUUUCAAGUGCCUUGGGGAUUGGUCUGUGCAGAGGCGGUAGGAGAUGUAAAUCUACAUGGCCAUCGUCGUGGCUGCCAUCACGAUGCUGUAAUUAUACCUUUGUACAUGUAUAUUCCGAUCAGCUUAACUCGUUUGCUGUUGUAUUUCAGAAAGGGUACGGUGCUAAUCCGUUUAAAAUCAAAGUUCCUUUUGCUGUAUACUUUAGCUAUCCUUACUACUGUCGAUGAUGCAAAAAUUUACUCAGGCGAAUGGAAUUGUCUGGGUUUGCUUUUACACUUGUGAAAA